UCUUUUUCCACCGGAGCUUGCUCCACCGGAAAAAGANGAGUGGCGAACGGGUGAGUAACACGUGGGUAACCUGCCCAUCAGAAGGGGAUAACACUUGGAAACAGGUGCUAAUACCGUAUAACAAUCGAAACCGCAUGGUUUUGAUUUGAAAGGCGCUUUCGGGUGUCGCUGAUGGAUGGACCCGCGGUGCAUUAGCUAGUUGGUGAGGUAACGGCUCACCAAGGCCACGAUGCAUAGCCGACCUGAGAGGGUGAUCGGCCACAUUGGGACUGAGACACGGCCCAAACUCCUACGGGAGGCAGCAGUAGGGAAUCUUCGGCAAUGGACGAAAGUCUGACCGAGCAACGCCGCGUGAGUGAAGAAGGUUUUCGGAUCGUAAAACUCUGUUGUUAGAGAAGAACAAGGAUGAGAGUAACUGUUCAUCCCUUGACGGUAUCUAACCAGAAAGCCACGGCUAACUACGUGCCAGCAGCCGCGGUAAUACGUAGGUGGCAAGCGUUGUCCGGAUUUAUUGGGCGUAAAGCGAGCGCAGGCGGUUUCUUAAGUCUGAUGUGAAAGCCCCCGGCUCAACCGGGGAGGGUCAUUGGAAACUGGGAGACUUGAGUGCAGAAGAGGAGAGUGGAAUUCCAUGUGUAGCGGUGAAAUGCGUAGAUAUAUGGAGGAACACCAGUGGCGAAGGCGGCUCUCUGGUCUGUAACUGACGCUGAGGCUCGAAAGCGUGGGGAGCAAACAGGAUUAGAUACCCUGGUAGUCCACGCCGUAAACGAUGAGUGCUAAGUGUUGGAGGGUUUCCGCCCUUCAGUGCUGCAGCUAACGCAUUAAGCACUCCGCCUGGGG
RNAcentral lists this ribosomal RNA (837 nucleotides) under Enterococcus durans. RNAcentral's name for it is "bacterial SSU rRNA". It matches the Rfam family "Bacterial small subunit ribosomal RNA", at positions 70 to 878 of the family's 1533-position model. The record is from RNAcentral. Lineage: Bacteria; Bacillati; Bacillota; Bacilli; Lactobacillales; Enterococcaceae.